UGGGGAAUAUUGCACAAUGGAGGGAACUCUGAUGCAGCGACGCCGCGUGAACGAAGAAGGCUUUCGAGUCGUAAAGUUCUUUCAUAUGGGAAGAUAAUGACGGUACCAUAAGAAAAAGCCCCGGCUAACUACGUGCCAGCAGCCGCGGUAAUACGUAGGGGGCUAGCGUUGUCCGGAAUCACUGGGCGUAAAGGGUUCGCAGGCGGAAAUGCAAGUCAGGUGUAAAAGGCAGUAGCUUAACUACUGUAAGGAUUUGAAACUGCAUAUCUUGAGAAGAGUAGAGGUAAGUGGAAUUUUUAGUGAAGGGGGGAAAUGCGUAGAUAUUAAAAAGAAUACCGGUGGCGAAGGCGACUUACUGGGCUCAUUCUGACGCUGAGGAACGAAAGCGUGGGUAGCAAACAGG
This 403-nucleotide ribosomal RNA is filed under the name Fusobacteriota bacterium. RNAcentral's name for it is "Fusobacteria bacterium partial 16S ribosomal RNA". It matches the Rfam family "Bacterial small subunit ribosomal RNA", at positions 355 to 776 of the family's 1533-position model. The record is from RNAcentral. Lineage: Bacteria; Fusobacteriati; Fusobacteriota.